AUUGAACGCUGGCGGCAUGCUUUACACAUGCAAGUCGAACGGCAGCACGGGUGCUUGCACCUGGUGGCGAGUGGCGGACGGGUGAGUAAUACAUCGGAACGUGUCCUAAAGUGGGGGAUAACGCAUCGAAAGAUGUGCUAAUACCGCAUAAUCUCUAAGGAGAAAAGUAGGGGAUCGAAAGACCUUAUGCUUUUGGAGCGGCCGAUGUCUGAUUAGCUAGUUGGUAGGGUAAUGGCUUACCAAGGCGACGAUCAGUAGUUGGUCUGAGAGGAUGAUCAGCCACACUGGAACUGAGACACGGUCCAGACUCCUACGGGAGGCAGCAGUAGGGAAUAUUGUGCAAUGGGCGAAAGCCUGACACAGCCAUGCCGCGUGUGUGAAGAAGGCCCUAGGGUUGUAAAGCACUUUCAGUAAGGAGGAAUUAGUAGGGUUAAUAACCUUAUGAAAUGACGUUACCUACAGAAGAAGUACCGGCUAACUCCGUG
This 485-nucleotide ribosomal RNA is filed under the name uncultured bacterium. RNAcentral's name for it is "bacterial SSU rRNA". It matches the Rfam family "Bacterial small subunit ribosomal RNA", at positions 30 to 507 of the family's 1533-position model. The record is from RNAcentral.